RNAcentral lists this ribosomal RNA (743 nucleotides) under cyanobacterium enrichment culture clone 5_10_5.2.2_C04-T7. RNAcentral's name for it is "bacterial SSU rRNA". It matches the Rfam family "Bacterial small subunit ribosomal RNA", at positions 63 to 850 of the family's 1533-position model. The record is from RNAcentral. Lineage: Bacteria; Bacillati; Cyanobacteriota.
CGAACGGAACCUUCGGGUUUAGUGGCGGACGGGUGAGUAACGCGUGAGAAUCUGCCUCUAGGUCGGGGACAACAACUGGAAACGGUUGCUAAUACCCGAUGUGCAGCAAUGUGAAAGAUUUAUUGCCUAGAGAUGAGCUCGCGUCUGAUUAGCUAGUAGGUGUGGUAAUGGCGCACCUAGGCGACGAUCAGUAACUGGUCUGAGAGGAUGACCAGUCACACUGGGACUGAGACACGGCCCAGACUCCUACGGGAGGCAGCAGUGGGGAAUUUUCCGCAAUGGGCGAAAGCCUGACGGAGCAAUACCGCGUGAGGGACGAAGGCUUUUGGGUCGUAAACCUCUUUUCCCUGAGAAGAAGAUCUGACGGUAUCAGGGGAAUCAGCAUCGGCUAACUUCGUGCCAGCAGCCGCGGUAAUACGAGGGAUGCAAGCGUUAUCCGGAAUUAUUGGGCGUAAAGCGUCCGCAGGUGGCUCUGUUAGUCUGUCGUUAAAGAAUGGGGCUCAACCCCAUACAGGCGAUGGAAACUACAAGGCUAGAGUUUGGUAGGGGUCACGGGAAUUCUUAGUGUAGCGGUGAAAUGCGUAGAUAUUAAGAAGAACACCAGCGGCGAAAGCGCGUGACUGGGCCAGUACUGACACUCAUGGACGAAAGCUAGGGGAGCGAAAGGGAUUAGAUACCCCUGUAGUCCUAGCCGUAAACGAUGAUAACUAGGUGUUGCCCGUAUCGACCCGAGCCGUGCCGAA